RNAcentral lists this ribosomal RNA (504 nucleotides) under uncultured Glomus. RNAcentral's name for it is "SSU rRNA". It matches the Rfam family "Eukaryotic small subunit ribosomal RNA", at positions 569 to 1078 of the family's 1831-position model. The record is from RNAcentral. Lineage: Eukaryota; Fungi; Glomeromycota; Glomeromycetes; Glomerales; Glomeraceae.
AGCAGCCGCGGUAAUUCCAGCUCCAAUAGCGUAUAUUAAAGUUGUUGCAGUUAAAAAGCUCGUAGUUGAAUUUCGGGAUCAAAUUGUCGGUCGUGCCUCGGUACGUACUGGUAUUAUUGGUUCCUCCCUUCUGACGAACCACGAUGUCAUUAAUUUGGUGUCAUGGGAAAUCAGGACUGUUACUUUGAAAAAUUAGAGUGUUUAAAGCAGGCUCGCGCUUGAAUACAUUAGCAUGGAAUAAUGAAAUAGGACGUUUGAUUCUAUUUUGUUGGUUUCUAGGAUCGACGUAAUGAUUAAUAGGGAUAGUUGGGGCAUUAGUAUUCAAUUGUCAGAGGUGAAAUUCUUGGAUUUAUUGAAGACUAACUACUGCGAAAGCAUUUGCCAAGGAUGUUUUCAUUAAUCAAGAACGAAAGUUAGGGGAUCGAAGACGAUCAGAUACCGUCGUAGUCUUAACCAUAAACUAUGACCGACUAGGGAUCGGAUGAUGUUAAUUUUUAAUGUACU